UCUAUCAAUGGUGAACGACUAAAGGAACUGUGGUAUAUUCACUCCAUGAGGUCAUAUCUGGUCUGGAGAACACUCGGAACUACUUCUACCUGAGACAGCAAACGUAAUGGUGAGUGAAAGAAGUCAGGCCCAGGGAGCGCGUUCCUCUUUUCUUCAAGGAGUGCUGGAGGAGGAUUAAAAAGAAAUUGAACUGAAAGCUCACAAGGGUGAUGCACAUCCAAGAGCAGUCGUGGUAGCCAGGGUUCCGCUGAGAACCGCUGCCCUCCCCGGCCAGCCCAGCCCAGCCAUGGCCAGCCUUGAGCAGCACCAACUGCUGAGUUAGAGGAGUCUUAAGACCACCCAGAGACUGCAAAUGGAGAGCCAGCUCUAGAGCUCCCCAUCGGAUCAGCUGAAGCCAUGAGUGUGAAUGCUCCGCAACUCAGCUUCUCCUGCUGCCUCCAUCUCUGAUGGCAUUAUUCCAGGAGGAUGCUUCCAUAAGCCUCUGCAUGCAAAUCUCCAUCUCAGGGGGAAUCCUGAGCUCAAGGAACCGGCAUUGUAGUGAGAACUUUAAUUCAGAGUGGAUAUUAAUAAACAGUAAUAUUUCUCUUA
This is a long non-coding RNA of Bubalus bubalis (water buffalo), 588 nucleotides long. RefSeq lists it as uncharacterized. The transcript is spliced from 3 exons. The record is from RefSeq and is a predicted model, not a curated record. Lineage: Eukaryota; Metazoa; Chordata; Mammalia; Artiodactyla; Bovidae.